This 76-nucleotide transfer RNA is filed under the name Deltaproteobacteria bacterium. Its description in RNAcentral is "tRNA-Asn". It matches the Rfam family "tRNA". Rfam says of the family: Transfer RNA (tRNA) molecules are approximately 80 nucleotides in length. Their secondary structure includes four short double-helical elements and three loops (D, anti-codon, and T loops). Further hydrogen bonds mediate the characteristic L-shaped molecular structure. tRNAs have two regions of fundamental functional importance: the anti-codon, which is responsible for specific mRNA codon recognition, and the 3' end, to which the tRNAs corresponding amino acid is attached (by aminoacyl-tRNA synthetases). tRNAs cope with the degeneracy of the genetic code in two manners: having more than one tRNA (with a specific anti-codon) for a particular amino acid; and 'wobble' base-pairing, i.e. permitting non-standard base-pairing at the 3rd anti-codon position. The record is from RNAcentral. Lineage: Bacteria; Pseudomonadati; Myxococcota; Myxococcia. RNAcentral also lists the same sequence under 1 other name.
UCCUGCUUAGCUCAGUCGGUAGAGCGGGUGGCUGUUAACCACUAGGUCGGCGGUUCAAGUCCGUCAGCAGGAGCCA